CCCUUAGAUGUUCUGGGCUGCACGCGCGCUACACUGAUGCGUUCAACGAGUGUACAACCUUGCCCGAUAGGGUUGGGUAACCUUUUGAACACGCAUCGUGAUGGGGAUAGAGUAUUGCAAUUAUUACUCUUCAACGAGGAAUUCCUAGUAAUGAUGGUUCAUCAGACCGUCGUGAUUACGUCCCUGCCCUUUGUACACACCGCCCGUCGCUCCUACCGAUUGAGCAAUCCGGUGAAUAUUUCGGACCGGCACUUGAUCAGGGCAACUUGAUCUAGAGCUGGAAAGUCAAGUUAACCUUAUUGCUUAGAGGAAGGAGAAGUCGUAACA
RNAcentral lists this ribosomal RNA (327 nucleotides) under uncultured eukaryote. Its description in RNAcentral is "partial 18S ribosomal RNA". It matches the Rfam family "Eukaryotic small subunit ribosomal RNA", at positions 1470 to 1796 of the family's 1831-position model. The record is from RNAcentral.